UCCAGACUCCUACGGGAGGCAGCAGUGGGGAAUAUUGCACAAUGGGGGAAGCCCUGAUGCAGCGACGCCGCGUGAGUGAAGAAGUAUUUCGGUAUGUAAAGCUCUAUCAGCAGGGAAGAAAAUGACGGUACCUGACUAAGAAGCCCCGGCUAACUACGUGCCAGCAGCCGCGGUAAUACGUAGGGGGCAAGCGUUAUCCGGAUUUACUGGGUGUAAAGGGAGCGUAGACGGCAUGGCAAGUCAGAUGUGAAAGCCCGGGGCUCAACCCCGGGACUGCAUUUGAAACUGUCAGGCUGGAGUGCAGGAGAGGUAAGUGGAAUUCCUAGUGUAGCGGUGAAAUGCGUAGAUAUUAGGAGGAACACCAGUGGCGAAGGCGGCCUGCUGGACGACAACUGACGGUGAGGCGCGAAAGCGUGGGGAGCAAACAGGAUUAGAUACCCUUGUA
RNAcentral lists this ribosomal RNA (445 nucleotides) under uncultured bacterium. RNAcentral describes it as "bacterial SSU rRNA". It matches the Rfam family "Bacterial small subunit ribosomal RNA", at positions 330 to 792 of the family's 1533-position model. The record is from RNAcentral.